GCUCUCGUGGCUCAGGGGUAGAGCACCGCCUUGGUAAGGCGGCGAUCGGCGGUUCGAAUCCGCUCGAGAGCU
This 72-nucleotide transfer RNA is filed under the name Candidatus Epulonipiscium sp. RNAcentral describes it as "tRNA-Thr". It matches the Rfam family "tRNA". Rfam says of the family: Transfer RNA (tRNA) molecules are approximately 80 nucleotides in length. Lineage: Bacteria; Bacillati; Bacillota; Clostridia; Lachnospirales; Lachnospiraceae. The record is from RNAcentral.